RNAcentral lists this ribosomal RNA (459 nucleotides) under uncultured bacterium. RNAcentral describes it as "partial 16S ribosomal RNA". It matches the Rfam family "Bacterial small subunit ribosomal RNA", at positions 339 to 795 of the family's 1533-position model. The record is from RNAcentral.
CUACGGGUCGCUCCAGUAAGGAAUAUUGCGCAAUGGAGGCAACUCUGACGCAGCCAUGCCGCGUGCAGGAAGAAGGCCUUAUGGGUCGUAAACUGCUUUUAUUUAGGAAUAAACCCCCGAACGUGUUCGGGGCUGAAGGUACUAAACGAAUAAGCACCGGCUAACUCCGGGCCAGCAGCCGCGGUAAUACGGAGGGUGCAAGCGUUAUCCGGAUGUAUUGGGUUUAAAGGGUGCGCAGGCGGGCUAUUAAGUCAGUGGUGAAAUCCCGGGGCUCAACUCCGGAACUGCCAUUGAUACUGAUAGUCUUGAGUUUGGUUGAAGUGGGCGGAAUGUAGCAUGUAGCGGUGAAAUGCAUAGAUAUGCUACAGAACACCAAUCGCGAAGGCAGCUCACUAAGCCAAAACUGACGCUCAUGCACGAAAGCGUGGGGAUCAAACAGGAUUAGAUACCCCGGUAGUC